ACGGGAGGCAGCAGUGGGGGAUAUUGCACAAUGGGGGGAACCCUGAUGCAGCGACGCCGCGUGAGUGAUGAAGUAUUUCGGUAUGUAAAGCUCUAUCAGCAGGAAAGAUAAUGACGGUACCUGACUAAGAAGCACCGGCUAAAUACGUGCCAGCAGCCGCGGUAAUACGUAUGGUGCAAGCGUUAUCCGGAUUUACUGGGUGUAAAGGGAGCGUAGACGGCAUGGCAAGCCAGAUGUGAAAGGUGGGGGCUCAACUCCCAAGCUGCAUUUGGAACUGUCAAGCUAGAGUAUCGGAGAGGUAAGUGGAAUUCCUAGUGUAGCGGUGAAAUGCGUAGAUAUUAGGAGGAACACCAGUGGCGAAGGCGGCCUGCUGGACUGUUACUGACGCUGAGGCACGAAAGCGUGGGGAGCAAACAGGAUUAGAUACCCUGGUA
Molecule: ribosomal RNA, 434 nt
Filed under: uncultured Lachnospiraceae bacterium
Lineage: Bacteria; Bacillati; Bacillota; Clostridia; Lachnospirales; Lachnospiraceae
Description: bacterial SSU rRNA
Rfam family: Bacterial small subunit ribosomal RNA
Source: RNAcentral